CGACUCAAUCCACACUUUGCUGCAACUUAAGGUUAGAUUCAUCCAUAUAAUCAAUGAAAUAAACUUCAAACAAUUUUGAAUAUAUGUCAUGGUGGUGCUGCAUACUCUAAACAAUGAAAAUUACUAUUGUCCACUUAAGAGUACGUUUCACUUGAAACUUUGCCGAAUUGGAAUUUUGAAUUCACUAUCCCUUUUCUAUCGCAAAUUUUAUCUCAUUUUUAAUCAUUAAAAUACAUCUUGAUCUCAUUCUACUAA
This 255-nucleotide long non-coding RNA is filed under the name Phoenix dactylifera (date palm). Its description in RNAcentral is "long non-coding RNA (PDAC_LNC010101)". The record is from RNAcentral. Lineage: Eukaryota; Viridiplantae; Streptophyta; Magnoliopsida; Arecales; Arecaceae.